CAUGAACCAUAGGAUCUUUUCUGCAUCUCGGAAUUUUGGUGGCGCACCCUGCAGCAGCAUGUUUGUUGUUAUGGCUGUUUUUGCUUUGGUUUAGAAGGAAACCCAGCUAAGAAAUAGAGUUUCAGAGACAUGAAGAGUGUGAAGUGAAUAACCUGCCAUGUGUAUGUACAUGUAUCAGAUCUGCUUGAUGAAAGUCAAAUGUCUUACUAAAUUCAUCACCCAUAUGAUAAGCAUCAGGAAAUUUCUCUCAACAUAUGGAGUAAUGCUGUUGGUUGCUAUGGAUUCCAUUUUUUUACGGUUAUUUCAUGAGUGCUUUCAGUGUGCUUCUUAGAAAAGAGCACGCAGUUUCUUUAUGGAUCGUGUGGUCCUGGCACGGAGAUUCUUGUGCCAAUGCUGGCCUUUGCCCAUGACGGAAGAGGGACUUCCACCAACGUCCAUCGUUAUCUUCGCGACGCACGCUCAUCUAGCUUCACUGCUUCUAAACACAA
This is a long non-coding RNA of Daphnia pulicaria, 488 nucleotides long. RefSeq lists it as uncharacterized. The transcript is spliced from 4 exons. NCBI's taxonomy places the organism in Eukaryota, Metazoa, Arthropoda, Branchiopoda, Diplostraca, Daphniidae. The record is from RefSeq and is a predicted model, not a curated record.